UGCAGAAUUCAGUGAAUCAUCGAAUCUUUGAACGCACAUUGCGCCCUUUGGUAUUCCUUAGGGCAUGCCUGUUCGAGCGUCACUAAAAACCCUCUCACAGAUAAUGUGGUAUUGGUAGAAGUGGAUAGUACUAACACUACCCAAUCUUACUCUACUCAAAUGAAUAGGCCAGAGAAGUGGACUAUGGUAAUAGACUCCAGAAGUGUUUUAAAAUGCUAAUCUAGUCUUACCCAAAGUCAUGUUCUGAGCUACUGGACCCCCAUUUAGUCCAAACCAAAGAGGUUGACCUCGGAUCAGGUAGGGAUACCCGCUGAACUUAAGCAUAUCAAUAAGCG
RNAcentral lists this small RNA (335 nucleotides) under Tuber sp. 18 KA-2010. RNAcentral describes it as "eukaryotic LSU rRNA". The stretch from base 1 to 82 matches the Rfam family "5.8S ribosomal RNA", at positions 73 to 154 of the family's 154-position model. Lineage: Eukaryota; Fungi; Ascomycota; Pezizomycetes; Pezizales; Tuberaceae. The record is from RNAcentral.